This is a long non-coding RNA of Cavia porcellus (domestic guinea pig), 2259 nucleotides long. RefSeq lists it as uncharacterized. Lineage: Eukaryota; Metazoa; Chordata; Mammalia; Rodentia; Caviidae. The record is from RefSeq and is a predicted model, not a curated record. The transcript is spliced from 2 exons.
UAAGGCAAGCAUGCUCUCUUUGCUGAGUGUGAUGGCACCUGCCUGUAGUCCUGUCUUUACCAGUUUUGAUAAAAAAAAAAAUAUGGCAAAUGCUGCUGCCAAGUAACAUCCAACAGCAAAUCAGGCUUAUAAAAUGUGAUACUGUGUCCUCCUCCACCUUGUUCCCAGGCCUGGCAUCAUGCGGCUUCUGACUCUUCCCCAGACUGAAAAUAACCAUGACAGCCAUGAUGGAGCAACUUUAGGCACUCAUGAAAGAAGACUCUCAGAACUGCUUCAGAAAGUGGCAAGAACGAUGGGGAACGGCCCUGCACAUCUCCUCCUUACAUGUGUCUGCUUCUUGGUGCACUCUGGAGCCUCCUUCCUCCGCGUCAGAGCCACCACUUUCCUAACUGUUCCCCCUGGUGUUUCACAUGUGCUGAGUCAUGGAUGGGCAGUAAAGCAUCCUCACUCCUCCUUCCACCUGCUCCAGCUCUGGCUUCCUUGAACAAAGCUCACAACCACAAACCUGGAUUCUCCAGAAGCCUUAUGAGGCUGCAUAAUGCUGCUGCCACCUCUGCCCCAACUUGUGGGUCCCUGACACCUGCUUCCUAUGGAUGGCCCAGAAGUCAGGGCACACCAGAACCCCAGGAUGGCCAGGAGUGACACCUGGUACAGACACACAUAUACAGGACAGGCUUGGUGCUGUGGUCAGCCCCCUGCUUCUGCUUUGUCCAAGGCUGUGGUGUUGAGCUGCCUUGUGCUUCUCUUAUGAGAAGAGGCCUUUUUCUUUUCACCCGCCAUCUCCUUCCCUUAAGAACUUGGACCCACUUCUGAGCUAAAGAAAUGGCUCCAUGACUGCUACGGUUAGAUCUAAAAUAGUCCCCAGGGCCUCACAUGCUUUCAUCAUUGGCAUCACAGCUGACUGGCUGGUAGGAGGUCAGGUCUGGCGGAAAGAUGUGGUCACCAGGGAUGUGGCCUGGGAAGGCUCCUCUCCCUCCCCAGCUCCUCCUUUUCUCCCUACUUCCUGUCUCUCAUGCUGUGAGCAGCUCUCUUUCCCCAGACCCCUCUGCCAGGCCACCCUGCCUUAGAACCAGUGGUUUACAGACUGAAACCCAAGUCAAAGUGAACCUCUCCCUUUAGUUGCACGUGUUGGGUAUUUCACUCCAGCAAUGGGAAAAAUGACCCAGACUCACAGAUGAUGCUGCCUUUAAAUUGCACUUCUCUUAUGACAUCGAAGGAGCCUGGCUUUCUUACCUAUUCGAUGAAUGUGUUCUUAAAAGCUCCUUAAUCCUUUAAUCAAAGAGUCUUCUUGUGAGUUCCUACAACAUUUAAAUUCUAUAGCUAUGGUACCAUAGGCUUAAAUGGGGUCUACCGGAUUGUGGGCUGCUAGCUGGGUUGUUUGGUUUGUUUCGUGUGUGUGUGUAUGUUUGUGUGUGUGUGUACCUGUGUGCACCUGACAUCUCAGCCAUCCUGAUCCAUGCCAUACCUCACCUGUCACUGCCCACAAGAUCACCCCUGUUGCUUCAGCUCUCUGCCUCCACUUCCUAAUAUUGUCUAUCACUACUGUUUCUGCUUGACUCUCUUUCAUCUACCUUUCUUUCUUUCUCUGUUUUUUUUUCCUCCUUUCAUUUUUGGUCAUUCUGUAUUUCAAGGCCUUUGGGGACAUUUCUAGGGCCGACUUUGUACUCAAUUACAAAUUCACAGACACUGGGACAGCACAGUAAGACUUACAAUCCCCAGGCGGUGCCAUCCAAGUUCAGGAAGCAGGAAACGAAACUAGCUGUUGUUUACGCCAGAGGAGCAGCUCCUAGUAGACUUGGGAGAGUGCCAGAAAAACACGAAUGGCCACGUUGGUUGACAUUUUUAGACUGACAAAUGUACACAGACCCAAAAUAGGCUGAGUGGUGACAGCAGACACUGUUGCUUCUAGCCGAGCUGUCUGCAUUUUUUGGCUGACCCUGCACCCGUCCUCUUCUUUCAGUGGGCUUUUACCUCUAACAGCUUGCAAGGGAGGUGCUCUCCUUGGACACGCCCCUGCAUGCCUGGAACACUCCCCGGAUGUGCGGAACCCAGGAUCCUAAGCCUCCCUAGGCCACCCUGGUCCCCAGAUCAACUGGGUUGGGGGAAGGGAAGCACAGCUCCUUUGCCUGAGGUUGGGACAAUUUUAAAAGACUUGUAGAGAGUUAUGCCAUACUGCUGUCUGAUGGAAACAUUAAAUACUGAACAUGAACAUGUUUAUUAAACAUGAAAUGUUUAAUAAAAUUCUCAUGAAAUUCUCAA